RNAcentral lists this ribosomal RNA (254 nucleotides) under uncultured bacterium. Its description in RNAcentral is "partial 16S ribosomal RNA". It matches the Rfam family "Bacterial small subunit ribosomal RNA", at positions 524 to 776 of the family's 1533-position model. The record is from RNAcentral.
UACGUAGGCAGCAAGCGUUGUUCGGAGUUACUGGGCGUAAAGGGUGCGUAGGCGGCUUCUUAAGUCUGGUGUGAAAUCUCCCGGCUCAACUGGGAGGGUGCGUCGGAUACUGAGGGGCUAGAGUGUGGGGAGAGGAAAGUGGAAUUCCUGGUGUAGCGGUGAAAUGCGCAGAUAUCAGGAGGAACACCGGUGGCGAAGGCGGGUCGCUGGGCAACAACUGACGCUGAGGAGCGAAAGCGUGGGGAGCGAACAGG